Molecule: ribosomal RNA, 455 nt
Filed under: uncultured Aeromonas sp.
Lineage: Bacteria; Pseudomonadati; Pseudomonadota; Gammaproteobacteria; Aeromonadales; Aeromonadaceae
Description: bacterial SSU rRNA
Rfam family: Bacterial small subunit ribosomal RNA
Source: RNAcentral
GGGAAAUUAGAUUGCUACUUUUGCCGGCGAGCGGCGGACGGGUGAGUAAUGCCUGGGAAAUUGCCCAGUCGAGGGGGAUAACAGUUGGAAACGACUGCUAAUACCGCAUACGCCCUACGGGGGAAAGCAGGGGACCUUCGGGCCUUGCGCGAUUGGAUAUGCCCAGGUGGGAUUAGCUAGUUGGUGAGGUAAUGGCUCACCAAGGCGACGAUCCCUAGCUGGUCUGAGAGGAUGAUCAGCCACACUGGAACUGAGACACGGUCCAGACUCCUACGGGAGGCAGCAGUGGGGAAUAUUGCACAAUGGGGGAAACCCUGAUGCAGCCAUGCCGCGUGUGUGAAGAAGGCCUUCGGGUUGUAAAGCACUUUCAGCGAGGAGGAAAGGUCAGUAGCUAAUAUCUGCUGGCUGUGACGUUACUCGCAGAAGAAGCACCGGCUAACUCCGUGCCAGCAGCC